This 336-nucleotide long non-coding RNA is filed under the name Cricetulus griseus (Chinese hamster). RNAcentral describes it as "lncRNA (ENSCGRG00000026022.1)". The record is from RNAcentral. Lineage: Eukaryota; Metazoa; Chordata; Mammalia; Rodentia; Cricetidae.
GUUUCUGGUUUCGGUUUCACUUUCGGCUUGCUGUACAGACUGCUGCCCACCAGCUGGCUAGGUCGCUCUAACAGAAAGACAGCAUGAGAACUGGGAGAGCUGAGAACAACUGUUGAACCAUGGAUGUAAUGAUCCCCUUCUUUCCAUCAGCAACAAUGGCAAAUCCUCUGUGCUGAAGACCACAUUUUCUCCCUGGAAAAAUGGAAAUGUUACUGUUUAGACACAGAUCCCUGAAAAUUAUACAUGCGGGUAGAUGGAACAGGAAACCAUUUAUGAGUAGAUGAAAACACGAACCACGAGACUCAACAAACCAAUGUGGAGUUUAUUGAAGGGAAC